Molecule: RNA transcript, 3814 nt
Organism: Zingiber officinale
Lineage: Eukaryota; Viridiplantae; Streptophyta; Magnoliopsida; Zingiberales; Zingiberaceae
Exons: 7
Source: RefSeq, a predicted model, not a curated record
UUGGGCUUCUCUCCAUAAAUCGAAACCCUAAUCCUCUGCAUCCUCCUUUUAGGAGUUACCAUUUGAAAGACGAGCAAUGAAUCUCUCGACGACGAUGUGGAUUGCGGCGGUCGUCGGCGUUGUCACGGUCUACUGGUUUGUGUGGGUGUUGGGCUCGGCGGAAGUGAAAGGCAAGCGGGCAGUGAACCUUAAGAUGGGAUCGAUCAUGCUGGAUAAGGUGCAGGAGUACUGGUCCUUCUUUCUCCGCUCCAAGGAGGGCCUAGCACCAUUACUAUAUUAGUGAAGUGAUAGCUAGAUCCCCUCAUUUCCCCGAUCUGAUCGCCAUCCGAACUCCUAGGGUUCGACGCCCGACGACUCCUUCUUGUUCCGGCGGCCUCUCCGGCCCUUCCUCUCCCCCUGCAUAUCUUCCAUUCUUGAUGCAGGACAAGGCGGUCGUGGAGGACGGCGAGAAGGAUACUUUUUCGAAGAAGCCGCGCCACUGCAAAGCCGAGAUGUCCCUUACUAAUUCCGAGGAAGACUCUUUCCUCUUUCCCGUGAAGGAGAUCGUCCAGUACCCUCUUCCGGGAUACGUCGCUCCCUCUUCCAUCAGCUUCAGCCCCGAUGGGCGCUUGAUCUCCUAUCUCUUCAGCCCCGAUGGUACCCUCCACCGUAAAGUCUUCGCCUUUGAAGUUGCCUCACAGCGGCAGGAGCUUGUGAUUUGCCCGCCUGAUGGAGGUGGCCUCGAUGAGAGUAAUCUCUCGGCUGAAGAGAAGCUGAGGCGAGAGAGGUCAAGGGAGAGGGGAUUGGGAGUCACGAGGUACGAGUGGAAAUCGAGGUCGACGUCCUCUUCUUGCUCCGCUCCAGGGAAGCCCACUAUCAUGGUGCCAUUGCCAAAUGGGGUAUAUUUCUAGGAAAUAUCAGGCUUAGAGCCAGAGCUCAAGCUUACAUGUUGUGCUAGCUCGCCAAUUAUUGAUCCGCAUCUGUCACUAGAUGGAAGCAUGCUUGCAUAUGUCAGGAAUGAUGAACUCCAUGUUUUAAACCCGUCUGGUGGGGAGCCUAAACAAUUAACUUUUGGAGCAAUUGCAAAUAGAAAGGUGGGAUUCGUUUCUUGUUUAAUGUGUUGCAGAUUGAUUAUAGUUUUUGUAACUUGGAAAUUCUUUUUCAUGUGCUAGUGGUAUGUAUCCCUUACUAUCGGCUUUUUUGUUCUGAUAACUUCCAAUACUUGGGAUUGUCUUCUAACUUGACAUAACUGUUGGGACAAUUUACCGUCUCGUAAGCUAAAUAAUCGGUGGUAAAGGUUACUUGGAGAAUAUUAUAAUUUUAUGUUGAGUCUUCAAGUUCUCUCCUGUUUAUUAUGUAGCUUGCUUGUCUCAUCAUAAAAUGUAGCAGGUCACUGGAACCUGUUGGUAUACUCAUGUAUACCACAGUGCUGCCCCAGGCUGUUUGGGGAGUAUCAGAGCAGCAACACAAUAAGAAGGUUGAGGCGACCAUAAAGGAGUAUCAACUUGAAAUAUGAGAAUAAUCUUUAAGCUCAAUCACAAUUCAAGAUUUAGCAGCAUUUUGAAGAAGAUGGUGUUUCAACAUUGCUCUAAAAGGUGAUAUUAGUAAUUCUUAAUUUAAUAUUCUCCUCUAUUGUAAUAUUAUUUUAAUGGUGAUUGUCUGAGCCUUUGACUUAAUAUUAUAAACCAAUCUAUUCAUGUUGCAGAUUUAUAAUUUUAACCUCCGGUUAAGGAACGAUAGAGGCCACUUAUCACCUUAGUUAAUUUUUAGCAAAAAGUUGUUAAAAAAACUACUUAAAAUGUAUGAUCAUUUAACAUAAUUUUCUCGUCAAGAAUCAGAAACUCUGUGCUUGAUUAGAAUUGCAAUGCUAGAGCUUUUCUUAGUAAUUUUUAUUAUGCAAACUUCAAUUACUCAUGCUUUUGCAGAUCUCGUCAAAAUCUCUCUAGCACAUCAUCGUUUUACAAUUUUUUUUGUUAUCUUUGUUGGAUGAUAUUAAUAUUAUUUUGACUUAGCCAUCCUCCUCUGAUUUAUUUGUUCUGACUUUGUCACAUUUUAAUUUACUCUUGUGCUAACCAAGUCAAUGUAGACUUUCUCAUUGCAGAGCAAAUGUAAAGAGAAUAAGGACUCGUUCAAGAAGGUGAGCCGCAAAGUGAGACGAUCUCAAGAACUGCUAAUUAACGACUAAUCUUCACUUUCAAGAAUUGUGUUACUCGCAAGAUGAUCAUAAAACUCUGUUUUAAAUUUAUGCACCAUAUUUCUGGUCAUAUUACAAUACUACAAAUUUUUAGACAUCUCUUUCUAUCGAGAUGUAAAACAACAUAAUCCUGCCAGUUUGUAACAAUAGAAUGCUAUUUUCAUUUUCCAUGCAGUAUAAUCAAAUACUCCUAACGACAUUAUGCAACAAAAGCUUGUUGUUGGUUUACCUGAUACCAAAUGGAGAUUGUGAUAACGAGAAUGAAGAGGAUGAACACUGGCCAUGCAACUUGAGACAUGAGAAUGAUGAUGCAUAGAAGUUGAACAAGUGCAAAAGCUGAUCCUGCCAGUCUGUAUGGGAUAUCAGUGUCAAUGGUUGUCUGAUCUGAUGAAGACUGGAAAAGAAUUAGUUGCUUCUUCGGAAUAUGGAAUCCUUCAUUUGUUUAGUCAUCACCAGUUACAGGAAUUUUUAUUAAUUGAAAGGGAAUGCUCAUUACACGCAAUGGAUUACGAAGAAGAGUUGUCUGUCAUUAAUUCUCAACAAGAAUGAUGCCUACCUACGCCAACAGUGAUAUCAGAGUCCAACCACUUCAGAAGGACUAACUACCGACUGAAGUACAAAGACGAUGGUCAGACCCAACAUCUAUCUGCCUAAGUUCGAGGAGUAGUUCGCAACAUCCCUCAUAGACCAAUAAGGAGCUGAAAAGGAGGAUUACCAAUGGACCAAAAAAGAACAAGUCGACUUUGUAGCGAAUGGACAAGUUGAGUCCCACCUGUUGAGUAUACUUCCACCCCAAGAAGUUACUCAAAUCAGAACCUACAAAUCAGUAAAAAAUCUUUGGGAGAGGUUCUUGGAGCUACAUGAAGAAACGUCCGAAGCAAAGCUCACGAGAUGAGACCUGUUCUGAAACCAAAUCAACAACCUCCAGAUGGAAGAAGGUGAAUAGGUUUCUCAUCUAUAUGGAAGAAUCAUGGAGCUAAUCACCGGAUUAACGAACCUUGGAGAAAUGGUAACUAAUCAGGACGCACAAAUGUAUGCUUUAAAUGUAUUCAUGAGAAAACCAAAAUGGACAUCUAUAGUAGAUUCCUACUAUAUCUCCAAAGACCUCGAGGUAAGUAUACUCAAAAAUCUUUUUCUACUUUUGAAUUACACAAGUCUCGGUGUGCAGGACAAAGAAAGGGACCAAAUCAUAACCUAGCACUGCAAGCCUAGAAGAGUGGACUAAAUUCAAACUCAUCAAUUGACGAAGACGAAGUAGCCUUCAUGGUAAGAAAAUUCUCUAAGUUUUUUAAAUCUAAUAAAUUUAAAAAGUCGCAGGCCAAAAGGUUUGUUCUAGGAAAAUAGAAAAUAAGAUGCUAUAAUUGUCAAGAAGAAGGGUGCAUCAAGAAUGACUGCUCGAAACUGAAAAAGAAGGAGAAAAACAAAGGACCAGCAAACCAAAGCACAAAAAUCUGAAGGCAACGUAGGAUGAGUCAUCAUCGGAGUCUAAACUGGAGAUGUAUAUCAGACUAGCACUCAUGGCGAGUCACCUAGAGGAGAGUAUCGAUGAAGGAGAAGCUACAUCUGAGGAAAGCAGCACCGAAGGGGAGCAUUCAACUUCAAACAUGAUAUGGUAAGUGAGGUAUGUCUUCUACCUCCUGA